This 30-nucleotide non-coding RNA is filed under the name Rattus norvegicus (Norway rat). The record is from RNAcentral. Lineage: Eukaryota; Metazoa; Chordata; Mammalia; Rodentia; Muridae.
UAACCUUAGCUUCUGUUUUGAUAUUAUGGU